RNAcentral lists this microRNA precursor (158 nucleotides) under Trichophyton rubrum BMU01672. Lineage: Eukaryota; Fungi; Ascomycota; Eurotiomycetes; Onygenales; Arthrodermataceae. The record is from RNAcentral.
CCCCUUCCUCCCCAGCAGCAGCAGCAGCAUCUCUGUCCUAUAUUGCCUUGUCUGAGCUGUCCGUCUAUUACGGAGUAUUGCAAAGCAGAUCUAGGCUCCUGAUAGACGGUCUUUUUGCUGGCUGUAUAAGGUUUUUUUUUUGGGCCGGACAGGGCCCA